UACGGGGGGGGCAAGCGUUGUUCGGAAUUACUGGGCGUAAAGGGUUCGUAGGUGGCCAACUAAGUCAGACGUGAAAUCCCUCAGCUUAACUGGGGAACUGCGUCUGAUACUGGUUGGCUUGAGUGCAGGAGAGGAACGCGGAAUUCCAGGUGUAGCGGUGAAAUGCGUAGAUAUCUGGAGGAACACCGGUGGCGAAGGCGGCGUUCUGGACUGCAACUGACACUGGGGAACGAAAGCCAGGGUAGCAAACGGG
Molecule: ribosomal RNA, 253 nt
Filed under: uncultured bacterium
Lineage: Bacteria
Description: partial 16S ribosomal RNA
Rfam family: Bacterial small subunit ribosomal RNA
Source: RNAcentral